GCUAAUCCCUCUAGAGAGUCCUUAUCAAUAGUGGGGGUUGGCACCUCGAUGUUGGCUUAGGGAAUCAAUGUAACGCAAAAGUUACAUAAGGAAGGUUUGUUCAACCUAUAAACCCCUACAUGAGCUGAGUUCAGACCGGCGUAAGCCAGGUUAGUUUCUAUCCUCGACAAUACAUUUCUUCUUAUAGUACGAAAGGACCUAAGUAAGAGUAAUAAUUACAUCUCUGAAUUCAUAUAAAGUAAUUUCAUCUUAAUACUACAUAAAAUAUG
This is a ribosomal RNA of 269 nucleotides. The stretch from base 1 to 165 matches the Rfam family "Bacterial large subunit ribosomal RNA", at positions 2481 to 2645 of the family's 2925-position model.